CCACCCCAAAUUCUCUUUCCUCCCAACUUCCCAUUUCAGAAUGCCCUGUUGUUCAGAGGUGUUUGUUUGCUGGGGAUUACCAGAGUGGCUCUGACCCAGUUUCUGUUGAUUUCAAUGGCUGCCAGGCCUCCUGCUGAUACCAUUCCUGAUGCUGAUGACCAAUCCCUCACUCAGACAAGGGGGCUGGAAUCUCCAAGGACAAGUGUUUUUCCAACCAUGUCUCAUCAGACCUUUGAGUUUGUUCAUCUGCUUCUUGUCUCCACAACACCCCCUGAGAGAAGCGGCUGCUUUAGAGAUGUGCCAGAAAGUCUACUGUGCAGAUUCAAUGCAUAAAAGCCUGGGGCCAGAAGCAAAGUAUGAAUCAUUUUUCAGCAGGAGAGAAAGGAUUGGUGGCUUCAGGGAAUGUUGAAGUGAACACUGCCAAUUUCUUCUCCUAACUGGAACAACAUGGAAGACCUUAUAUGUUCAGCUAAUGCCUAAUUCAAAAGUGGAGAGACUGCAGAUAUUUUAGGAUGAGGAGUUCACAGCUUCCAUCUAUCAGUGAGAUCCAAAGGGGUUUUGAAGGCUCUUCUAAAAGAAAAUACAGUUUUCUAAUGCAAAGCAGCGCUCUGCUGUGUGUGAUACGCCACUGAAGUCAACAACAAGUGGGAUACUAUCAAACAAGUUGGUAUUUCACAAUCUGUUCCUAUUCUGAAAGAUAAAUCCUGCCCAGGGAAGUUACAUAGAAUUGCCUUUUAGCUCACCUAAGAACUGGAAAGAGACUAAAAUGAGAGAACUGACAACUGCAGAUGAAGAUGCAACAGAUGCAUUUACCACUGAAAAUAAAAAUACCAUCAUCUACUAAAGCCAUUAAGGUGAGGUUUGCUACAACUCAGCUUUGGCAACCACAGAGUAGCUGUGUGAACUAGCAAUGUCCAUGGUGUGCAGUGUUGCCAUGGGACAGUGUUGCUCUGAUUUCCUAGAAGAGCUGGAUCGUUCAUGUUGACCUUUGCAAGUUCACUGUCAUCACAUGCUCCUCUGCAGCUGAUUUCUGUUUGGCAGGGCUAUGAGACAGAAAAAGCCACCUCAGUGCCUCAAGAG
Molecule: long non-coding RNA, 1080 nt
Organism: Neopsephotus bourkii (Bourke's parrot)
Lineage: Eukaryota; Metazoa; Chordata; Aves; Psittaciformes; Psittacidae
Exons: 3
Source: RefSeq, a predicted model, not a curated record